RNAcentral lists this small RNA (411 nucleotides) under Pongo abelii (Sumatran orangutan). RNAcentral's name for it is "processed transcript". The record is from RNAcentral. Lineage: Eukaryota; Metazoa; Chordata; Mammalia; Primates; Hominidae.
AGCGAGAGGCUCUGAGGCUGCCAGAGUGGUUGUGUCUGUUGCUCGGGUAAGGGGUAAUUCGCCGAGGGGCGCGGACCAGACCGACCUCGGGUCGGGCCCGGGAACCCCGAGAGGAGAGCCCAGCCCCUGGUGGAGGCGGCUUGGCGGAGAUUCGGAGCCGUCAGCAGGAGCUGCUCUCGUUUGAGGAUGUGGCGAUGUACUUCACCAGAGAGGAGUGGGGCCACCUCAGCUGGGGUCAGAAGGACCUCUACCGAGAUGUGAUGUUGGAGAACUACAGGAACAUGGUCUUGCUGGGAUUUCAGUUUCCCAAACCUGAGGUGAUCUGUCAGCUGGAGAACUGGGACGAGCAAUGGAUCCUGGAUCUACCGAGAGCUGGGAAUAGGAAGGCUUCCGGUAGUGCUUGCCCAGGUG